GACGAACGCUGGCGGCGUGCUUAACACAUGCCAGUCGAACGAUGAAGAAAAGAAUCGAAGCUUCGGCAGAAAUUCAUUUCGGAUUAGUGGCAGACGGGUGAGUAACGCGUGAGCAACCUACCUCUUACAAAGGGAUAGCCUCGGGAAACCGGGAUUAAUACCAUAUAACAUUGUGACGAAGCAUUUCGAUGCAAUCAAAGCUACGGCGGUAAGAGAUGGGCUCGAGUCCCAUUAACCGGAUGGUGAGGUAACGGCUCACCAUAGUGACGAUGGGUAACCGGCCUGAGAGGGUGAACGGUCACACUGGAACUGAGACACGGUCCAGACUCCUACGGGAGGCAGCAGUGGGGAAUAUUGCACAAUGGAGGGAACUAUGAUGCAGCGACGCCGCGUGAGUGAUGAAGGAAUUCGUUUCGUAAAACUCUGUUCUAUGGGAAGAAAAGGACUGUACCAUAGGAGAAAGCUCCGGCUAAAUACGUG
RNAcentral lists this ribosomal RNA (480 nucleotides) under uncultured bacterium. RNAcentral describes it as "partial 16S ribosomal RNA". It matches the Rfam family "Bacterial small subunit ribosomal RNA", at positions 28 to 507 of the family's 1533-position model. The record is from RNAcentral.